Molecule: transfer RNA, 73 nt
Filed under: Paramuricea clavata
Lineage: Eukaryota; Metazoa; Cnidaria; Anthozoa; Malacalcyonacea; Plexauridae
Rfam family: tRNA
About the family: Transfer RNA (tRNA) molecules are approximately 80 nucleotides in length. Their secondary structure includes four short double-helical elements and three loops (D, anti-codon, and T loops). Further hydrogen bonds mediate the characteristic L-shaped molecular structure. tRNAs have two regions of fundamental functional importance: the anti-codon, which is responsible for specific mRNA codon recognition, and the 3' end, to which the tRNAs corresponding amino acid is attached (by aminoacyl-tRNA synthetases). tRNAs cope with the degeneracy of the genetic code in two manners: having more than one tRNA (with a specific anti-codon) for a particular amino acid; and 'wobble' base-pairing, i.e. permitting non-standard base-pairing at the 3rd anti-codon position.
Source: Rfam by way of RNAcentral
UCCUCUGUAGCUCAGUUGGUUGGAGCGCUGCACCGGAAUCGCAGGGAUGCAGGUUCAAUUCCUACCAGAGGAC